GAUGAACGCUGGCGGCGUGCUUAACACAUGCAAGUCGAACGGAAAGGCCCAAGCUUGCUUGGGUACUCGAGUGGCGAACGGGUGAGUAACACGUGGGUGAUCUGCCCUGCACUUCGGGAUAAGCCUGGGAAACUGGGUCUAAUACCGGAUAGGACGAUGGUUUGGAUGCCAUUGUGGAAAGUUUUUUCGGUGUGGGAUGAGCUCGCGGCCUAUCAGCUUGUUGGUGGGGUAAUGGCCUACCAAGGCGUCGACGGGUAGCCGGCCUGAGAGGGUGUACGGCCACAUUGGGACGGAGAGACGGACCAGACUCCUACGGGAGGCAGCAGUGGGGAAUAUUGCACAAUGGGCGCAAGCCUGAGGCAGCGACGCCGCGUGGGGGAUGACGGCCUUCGGGUUGUAAACUCCUUUCGCUAGGGACGAAGCGUUUUUGUGACGGUACCUGGAGAAGAAGCACCGGCUAACUACGUG
This 468-nucleotide ribosomal RNA is filed under the name uncultured bacterium. RNAcentral's name for it is "partial 16S ribosomal RNA". It matches the Rfam family "Bacterial small subunit ribosomal RNA", at positions 28 to 507 of the family's 1533-position model. The record is from RNAcentral.